RNAcentral lists this ribosomal RNA (482 nucleotides) under uncultured bacterium. RNAcentral describes it as "partial 16S ribosomal RNA". It matches the Rfam family "Bacterial small subunit ribosomal RNA", at positions 30 to 523 of the family's 1533-position model. The record is from RNAcentral.
AGUGAACGUUGGCGGCGUGGAUUAGGCAUGCAAGUCGAGCGAGAACCGUAGCAAUACGGGGACAGCGGCGAAAGGGACAGUAAUGUGUAGGUACCUACCCCGAGGUAUGGGAUAGCUGCGGGAAACUGCAGGUAAUACCGGAUAAUGUCUUCGGACCAAAGGUGUGAUUCCACCUUGGGAGGGGCCUGCAUCCUAUUAGCUAGUUGGCGGGGUAAUGGCCCACCAAGGCAACGAUGGGUAGCGGGUGUGAGAGCACGACCCGCGUCAUUGGGACUGAGACACAGCCCAGACACCUACGGGUGGCUGCAGUCGAGGAUCUUCGGCAAUGGGCGCAAGCCUGACCGAGCGACGCCGCGUGCGGGAUGAAGGCCUUCGGGUUGUAAACCGCUGUCGUAGAGGAGGAAAUGCAGGGGGGUUCUCCCCACUGUUUGACCUAUUCUAGGAGGAAGGACGGGCUAAGUUCGUGCCAGCCGCCGCCGUAA